CCCGCACAAGCAGCGGAGCGUGUGGUUUAAUUCGAUGCUACACGAAGAACCUUACCCGGGUUUGACAUACAGGUGGUAGGAAUCCGAAAGGUGACCGACCCGCAAGGGAGCCUGAACAGGUGUUGCAUGGCUGUCGUCAGCUCGUGUCGUGAGAUGUUCGGUUAAGUCCGCUAACGAGCGCAACCCUCGCCGCGUGUUACAAGUGUCACGCGGGACCGCCGGUAUCAAGCCGGAGGAAGGUGGGAUGACGUCAAGUCAGCAUGGCCUUUAUAUCCGGGGCUACACACACGCUACAAUGGCCGGUACAAUGGGUUGCUAAGCCGCGAGGCGGAGCCAAUCCCCCAAAGCCGGUCUCAGUUCAGAUUGCAGGCUGCAACUCGCCUGCAUGAAGCUGGAGUUGCUAGUAAACGCGCGUCAGCUAUAGUGCGUUGAAUACGUUCUCGGGCCUU
Molecule: ribosomal RNA, 449 nt
Filed under: uncultured Anaerolineaceae bacterium
Lineage: Bacteria; Bacillati; Chloroflexota; Anaerolineae; Anaerolineales; Anaerolineaceae
Description: bacterial SSU rRNA
Rfam family: Bacterial small subunit ribosomal RNA
Source: RNAcentral